GAUGAACGCUGGCGGCGUGCCUAAUACAUUCAAGUCGAGCGAACGGACGAGAAGCUUGCUUCUCUGAUGUUAGCGUCGGACGGGUGAGUAACACGUGGAUAACCUACCUAUAAGACUGGGCUAACUUCGUGAAACCGGAGCUAAUACCGGAUAAUAUUUUGAACCGCAUGGUUCACAAGUGAAAGACGGUCUUGCUGUCACUUAUAGAUGUAUCCGCGCUGCAUUAGCUAGUUGGUAAGGUAACGGCUUACCAAGGCAACGAUGCAUAGCCGACCUGAGAGGGUGAUCGGAGAAGCUGGAAUGGAGACACGGUCAAGACUGGUAAGGGAGGCAGAAGUAGGGAAGCUUCCGCAAUGGGCGAAAGCGUGAAGGAGCAACGCCGGGGGAGGGAGGAAGGUCUUCGGAUCGUAAAAAGCUGUUAGUAGGGAAGAACAUAUGUGAAAGUAACUGGGCACAUCGUGACGGUACAGAAGCAGAAAGACACGGCUAACUACGUG
Molecule: ribosomal RNA, 497 nt
Filed under: uncultured bacterium
Lineage: Bacteria
Description: partial 16S ribosomal RNA
Rfam family: Bacterial small subunit ribosomal RNA
Source: RNAcentral